CCCAACUGCUAUAGGAAAGAUCAAGGGGGAUCAUUUUCCAUUACAUUUUACUAAUUUAAUGACAAUAGGCAGAAUUCAUAAGCUUGCCCCAAUUGUUGUUUUCUUCUUCACAUACUUCCAUCUUUGUUUAUGAUUUUGCUGUUGUUCUCUACUUGAUCAUUAGAUUGGGCCAGUCCAGGUGGGAAAAACUAUAAGAUGGACUCUACUUAUAUUUUGAAGAACCAACACAAGAUGCUUGACCAUCUCUCAUGGCCUAUCUCAACAGACUCCAGGAUCUGGAAGAGGACACCUGAGAAUUAUUGUGAGCCCUAGAUCUCUAGUUCUGAUUCUAAACUAGCUUCCACAGCCAUCACCUUUGUGGAAAAGGGGCAUGCCACACUACCACCAAGGGUGAAUCCCCUUCCCUCCAGGAAAGUCCAAGACCCUAGAGAACAACACUAUUCCCUACACCAGUUUGGCAAUGUCAAAUGAUUCAAUAUAAAAAAUAGAUACGGCAGUGGAAAUAACAUUAGAUUAAAUGAAUUGCCAUCUGGGUUGCUUCUGCACACUAAGGACCACCAGACCUUUCCAUCUGACUUGCAGCUAAAACCACCAUCUGUGUUGUCCCCACU
RNAcentral lists this long non-coding RNA (611 nucleotides) under Monodelphis domestica (gray short-tailed opossum). RNAcentral describes it as "lncRNA (ENSMODG00000050415.1)". The record is from RNAcentral. Lineage: Eukaryota; Metazoa; Chordata; Mammalia; Didelphimorphia; Didelphidae.